CUCGCCUACGGGGCGCAGCAGUGGGGAAUAUUGCACAAUGGGGGAAACCCUGAUGCAGCAACGCCGCGUGAGUGAAGAAGUAUUUCGGUAUGUAAAGCUCUAUCAGCAGGGAAGAAGAAAGACGGUACCUGACUAAGAAGCCCCGGCUAACUACGUGCCAGCAGCCGCGGUAAUACGUAAGGGGCAAGCGUUAUCCGGAUUUACUGGGUGUAAAGGGAGCGUAGACGGCUGUGCAAGUCUGAAGUGAAAGCCCGGGGCUCAACCCCGGGACUGCAUUGGAAACUACCGAACUAGAGUGUCGGAGG
RNAcentral lists this ribosomal RNA (305 nucleotides) under uncultured bacterium. Its description in RNAcentral is "bacterial SSU rRNA". It matches the Rfam family "Bacterial small subunit ribosomal RNA", at positions 334 to 655 of the family's 1533-position model. The record is from RNAcentral.